CAGUAGCCGCGGUAAUACGAAGGGGGCUAGCGUUGUUCGGAUUUACUGGGCGUAAAGCGCACGUAGGCGGUUCGAUCAGUCAGGGGUGAAAUCCUGGAGCUCAACUCCAGAACUGCCUUUGAUACUGUCGAUCUCGAGUCCGGAAGAGGUGAGUGGAACUCCUAGUGUAGAGGUGGAAUUCGUAGAUAUUAGGAAGAACACCAGUGGCGAAGGCGGCUCGCUGGUCCGGUACUGACGCUGAGGUACGAAGGCGUGGGGAGCAAACAGGAUUAGAUACCCCUGUAGUCCCUGUCUCUUAUAC
This 301-nucleotide ribosomal RNA is filed under the name uncultured bacterium. RNAcentral describes it as "partial 16S ribosomal RNA". It matches the Rfam family "Bacterial small subunit ribosomal RNA", at positions 509 to 807 of the family's 1533-position model. The record is from RNAcentral.